AAACCGUUCAGGGGUAAACGGGAGAGACCGAAAGACGAAGGGGGAGACUCAAUCCCGCCCGCGUGUCCGGUCCUCGGCGGCCACGGAUGUCCCCGGUCGCCCACCGCGCCCUACGGCGCGCGCAGGUCACGAUCCGAGGUCACCGGCCGUCCGGGUUCACUCCCGGCCGCGGCGGGAUGCACUUCUCCUCCAGUAGGACGUCGCGACCCGCCGGGUACACUAGUGAGCCGGUCUAAGGCACUCGGGGUGGAGCCCGAGGGAACCGCCGCGGAAACGUGGGUCCACGGUUCCCCGGACCCCCGGUCGCCCGGCCGGCGCCCGGUGGUAAAUCUCGCGGAGCAGGCCCGCUAACCCUACAGUAGCGAGCGUCCGGCCCGGAGGGCAAGCUCUUCGGCGGUGCUCGAGGUGCCGUGGCCUCAGCCACGUCCCCGGCCCCCGUCGGCUGCUGGCCCCCGGAGUCCUCGGACGGUAGCCCGUCUCCCGUUAGCGGCGCUCACGCUUCGGGUGCUCUCCCGA
RNAcentral lists this ribosomal RNA (516 nucleotides) under Periplaneta americana (American cockroach). RNAcentral describes it as "eukaryotic LSU rRNA". The record is from RNAcentral. Lineage: Eukaryota; Metazoa; Arthropoda; Insecta; Blattodea; Blattidae.